RNAcentral lists this unclassified non-coding RNA (218 nucleotides) under soil metagenome. RNAcentral describes it as "partial contains 5.8S ribosomal RNA, internal transcribed spacer 2, and large subunit ribosomal RNA". The record is from RNAcentral.
AACAUCGCGCACCUGCGGGAACCUGCGGAGGGAUCAUUACAGAGUUGCAAAACUCCCUAAACCAUUGUGAACCUACCUUCUACCGUUGCUUCGGCGGGCGGGCCUAGCGCCCCCCCGGCCCCCCGCGGGCGCCCGCCGGAGGAUAACCAAACUCUUGACAUCAGUGGCCUCUCUGAGUAUUCUUUACUGAAUAAGUCAAAACUUUCAACAACGGAUCU